Molecule: ribosomal RNA, 744 nt
Filed under: Vibrio parahaemolyticus
Lineage: Bacteria; Pseudomonadati; Pseudomonadota; Gammaproteobacteria; Vibrionales; Vibrionaceae
Description: partial 23S ribosomal RNA
Rfam family: Bacterial large subunit ribosomal RNA
Source: RNAcentral
CGUCCUUGAAAUACCACCCUUGUAGUGUUGAUGUUCUAACGUCGACCCCUUAUCGGGGUUGCGGACAGUGCCUGGUGGGUAGUUUGACUGGGGCGGUCUCCUCCCAAAGAGUAACGGAGGAGCACGAAGGUGGGCUAAUCACGGUUGGACAUCGUGAGGUUAGUGCAAUGGCAUAAGCCCGCUUGACUGCGAGAAUGACAAUUCGAGCAGGUGCGAAAGCAGGUCAUAGUGAUCCGGUGGUUCUGAAUGGAAGGGCCAUCGCUCAACGGAUAAAAGGUACUCCGGGGAUAACAGGCUGAUACCGCCCAAGAGUUCAUAUCGACGGCGGUGUUUGGCACCUCGAUGUCGGCUCAUCACAUCCUGGGGCUGAAGUCGGUCCCAAGGGUAUGGCUGUUCGCCAUUUAAAGUGGUACGCGAGCUGGGUUUAGAACGUCGUGAGACAGUUCGGUCCCUAUCUGCCGUGGGCGUUGGAAGAUUGAAGGGGGCUGCUCCUAGUACGAGAGGACCGGAGUGGACGAACCUCUGGUGUUCGGGUUGUGUCGCCAGACGCAUUGCCCGGUAGCUAAGUUCGGAAUCGAUAACCGCUGAAAGCAUCUAAGCGGGAAGCGAGCCCUGAGAUGAGUCUUCCCUGAUACUUUAAGUAUCCUAAAGGGUUGUCGGAGACUACGACGUUGAUAGGUCAGGUGUGUAAGUGCUGUGAGGCAUUGAGCUAACUGAUACUAAUUGCCCGUGAGGCUUAACCAU